RNAcentral lists this long non-coding RNA (369 nucleotides) under Ananas comosus (pineapple). RNAcentral describes it as "long non-coding RNA (ACOM_LNC000828)". The record is from RNAcentral. Lineage: Eukaryota; Viridiplantae; Streptophyta; Magnoliopsida; Poales; Bromeliaceae.
UUCUGGACCCAAUGGCACUGACGGAAUUGGGUUCUGAUGCACGGUUGUCGAGAAAAAGGGGUUUAAUGGAAAUUACAUGUAAUAAUAUAAGUGGUUUAUGGGUGGAGAUUGAGAGGGCAGGAUUCGUCGCUGAUCGGAGACCAAAUCAGACGAAAUAAAAUGCUAGAUUCGAUGCCCCAGUCGUGCUGAACGCGCUGGCGCAAUCCGUUCGGAAAUCCGACGGACGGAUCUUCGGGAAUCGUGAAAUGUCCGCUGAGAGGUCAAGUUGGCAAGAUCGAUUAUUCGCGGAAACGUCCAAUAUUUUAUGCGCGAUCUUGCACGAAUUUGAAUGUCGAGGGACCUGUAUGCGUAAUCCACUCGUUGGCAGGG